This 253-nucleotide ribosomal RNA is filed under the name uncultured bacterium. RNAcentral's name for it is "partial 16S ribosomal RNA". It matches the Rfam family "Bacterial small subunit ribosomal RNA", at positions 524 to 776 of the family's 1533-position model. The record is from RNAcentral.
UACAGAGGGGGCAAGCGUUGUUCGGAAUUACUGGGCGUAAAGGGCGCGUAGGCGGCCCGCUAAGUCGAACGUGAAAUCCCCGAGCUCAACUCGGGAACUGCGUCCGAUACUGGCGGGCUUGAAUCCGGGAGAGGGAUGCGGAAUUCCAGGUGUAGCGGUGAAAUGCGUAGAUAUCUGGAGGAACACCGGUCGCGAAGGCGGCAUCCUGGACCGGCAUUGACGCUGAGGCGCGAAAGCUAGGGGAGCAAACGGG